This is a small nuclear RNA of Oryctolagus cuniculus (rabbit), 104 nucleotides long. The record is from Ensembl. Lineage: Eukaryota; Metazoa; Chordata; Mammalia; Lagomorpha; Leporidae.
GUGCUCACUUUGGCAGCACACAUACUAAAAUUGCAACAAUUCAGAGAUUAGCACAGCCCCUACAGGAGGAUGACAAACAAAUUCGUGAAGUGUCCCACUUUUUA